Molecule: ribosomal RNA, 332 nt
Filed under: uncultured bacterium
Lineage: Bacteria
Description: bacterial SSU rRNA
Rfam family: Bacterial small subunit ribosomal RNA
Source: RNAcentral
UUCGUAGGCGGUUUGUUAAGUCUGACGUUAAAGAUCAGGGCUCAACCCUGGGAUUGCUUCGGAUACUGGCAGACUGGAGUAUGGUAGAGGUAAGUGGAAUUUCUGGUGUAGCGGUGAAAUGCGUAGAUAUCAGGAAGAACACCGGUGGCGUAGGCGACUUACUGGGCCAUAACUGACGCUGAGGAACGAAAGCCAGGGGAGCGAAUGGGAUUAGAUACCCCAGUAGUCCUGGCUGUAAACGAUGGAUACUAGGUGUAGCGGGUAUCGACCCCUGCUGUACCGCAGCUAACGCGUUAAGUAUCCCGCCUGAGUAGUACGGCCGCAAGGUUGAA